CAAUGGGGGAAACCCUGNAUGCAGCGCACGCCGCCGUGAAGGAAGAAGUAUCUCGCCUAUGUAAACUUCUAUCAGCAGGGNAAGAUAGUGACGGUACCUGCACUAAGAAGCCCCGGCUAACUACGUGCCAGCAGCCGCGGUAAUACGUAGGGGGCAAGCGUUAUCCGGAUUUACUGGGUGUAAAGGGAGCGUAGACGGUGUGGCAAGUCUGAUGUGAAAGGCAUGGGCUCAACCUGUGGACUGCAUUGGAAACUGUCAUACUUGAGUGCCGGAGGGGUAAGCGGAAUUCCUAGUGUAGCGGUGAAAUGCGUAGAUAUUAGGAGGAACACCAGUGGCGAAGGCGGCUUACUGGACGGUAACUGACGUUGAGGCUCGAAAGCGUGGGGAGCAAACAGGAUUAGAUACCCUGGUAGUCCAAGGGCGAAUUC
Molecule: ribosomal RNA, 428 nt
Filed under: uncultured bacterium
Lineage: Bacteria
Description: SSU rRNA
Rfam family: Bacterial small subunit ribosomal RNA
Source: RNAcentral